RNAcentral lists this ribosomal RNA (484 nucleotides) under uncultured bacterium. RNAcentral describes it as "partial 16S ribosomal RNA". It matches the Rfam family "Bacterial small subunit ribosomal RNA", at positions 28 to 507 of the family's 1533-position model. The record is from RNAcentral.
AUUGAACGCUGGCGGCAUGCUUUACACAUGCAAGUCGAACGGCAGCGCGGGCUUCGGCCUGGCGGCGCGUGGCGAACGGGUGAGUAAUGCAUCGGAACGUGCCCAGUAGUGGGGGAUAGCCCGGCGAAAGCCGGAUUAAUACCGCAUACGACCUGAGGGUGAAAGCGGGGGACCGGAAGGCCUCGCGCUAUUGGAGCGGCCGCUGUCGGAUUAGCUAGUUGGUGGGGUAAAGGCUUACCAAGGCGACGAUCCGUAGCUGGUCUGAGAGGACGACCAGCCACACGGGGACGGAGACACGGCCCAGACUCCUACGGGAGGCAGCAGUGGGGAAUGUUGGACAAUGGGGGCAACCCUGAUCCAGCCAUGCCGCGUGCGGGAAGAAGGCCUUCGGGUUGUAAACCGCUUUUGUUCGGGAAGAAAUCCUCUGGGCUAAUACCCCGGGGGGAUGACGGUACCGGAAGAAUAAGCACCGGCUAACUACGUG